Molecule: small RNA, 29 nt
Filed under: Bombyx mori (domestic silkworm)
Lineage: Eukaryota; Metazoa; Arthropoda; Insecta; Lepidoptera; Bombycidae
Description: ovarian small RNA-8093
Source: RNAcentral
UGACCGCACCACCCCUGUAUAGAGACGGC